AGUGAACGCUGGCGGUAGGCCUAACACAUGCAAGUCGAACGGCAGCACAGUAAGAGCUUGCUCUUACGGGUGGCGAGUGGCGGACGGGUGAGGAAUACAUCGGAAUCUACUUUUUCGUGGGGGAUAACGUAGGGAAACUUACGCUAAUACCGCAUACGACCUACGGGUGGAAGCAGGGGAUCUUCGGACCUUGCGCGAUUGAAUGAGCCGAUGUCGGAUUAGCUAGUUGGCGGGGUAAAGGCCCACCAAGGCGACGAUCCGUAGCUGGUCUGAGAGGAUGAUCAGCCACACUGGAACUGAGACGCGGUCCAGACUCCUACGGGAGGCAGCAGUGGGGAAUAUUGGACAAAGGGCGCAAGCCUGAUCCAGCCAUACCGCGUGGGUGAAGAAGGCCUUCGGGUUGUAAAGCCCUUUUGUUGGGAAAGAAAAGCAGCAGGUUAAUACCCCGCUGUUCUGACGGUACCCAAAGAAUAAGCACCGGCUAACUUCGUG
RNAcentral lists this ribosomal RNA (492 nucleotides) under uncultured bacterium. RNAcentral describes it as "partial 16S ribosomal RNA". It matches the Rfam family "Bacterial small subunit ribosomal RNA", at positions 29 to 507 of the family's 1533-position model. The record is from RNAcentral.